GACACGGCCGCCUUCGGUCCUUACGGCAGUCAGCGCAUCGGCUGCCACUGGGCGAGCAGCUCGCACGGGCUGCAGAUGGGGUCUGAGUCACAGGUUUCCCUGACUCCAAAAACCCACGUCCUGUCUACACCCCGGGAGGCCCAUCAGUGGAAAGGGGGCCGCUCUGGAAGGCACCCACGGCUGAGCCUCCUGGGUUUGCGGCCCCGGCCCCCGCGAGGCGGGAGCGGAGGGGUGGGCUUCAGUGCCAGGGGCUGUAUCCAGGGAUGGGAAGGCAUUUGGGGAAACUGAGGCUCUGGUCCCAAGCGUAUUCCCACCUGUUCAGAUGUUUGAGGUUAAUUAAAGGACAGCGAUCGCCACGUGGAAUUUUUACCCAUGGUUGCUGAAUCGGCAACAAUCUGUGCCAAGGCGACUGCCGGGUCCGGACAGAACCGGCGGCUUCUGCUCGCGUUUUUGCAGCGAGGGAAGAGGAUUACGGCCGACCGAGUAGACCGCGAGCUUCAGGCCUGGAGCGGAGACCGGAGAGUUCCUGGUCUAGGUAAUUCGAUAGACGCGUUGGCCGGCACCCGCCGCGGGGGUUUGCGCAGCCGGAGCCGUGGAGGCGGUGGGAAACAACCUCGAGUGGCUGGGGUGCGCAGGCGCCCUCGUUUCCCCCCCAGGGGGGAG
RNAcentral lists this long non-coding RNA (663 nucleotides) under Microcebus murinus (gray mouse lemur). RNAcentral describes it as "lncRNA (ENSMICG00000048778.1)". Lineage: Eukaryota; Metazoa; Chordata; Mammalia; Primates; Cheirogaleidae. The record is from RNAcentral.